CCCAGGCGUCUCUUUGUAAAAAAGCAGUGAUGCGCAUAUGACGAGUUUACAUGAAGUAUUGUAGUGGGGAGAGAUGGGCGAAGGGGCUGAUGGGAGGAGUGCACUUGAACUGCGAGACGCCUGGCAGUUCUUGGUCGAUUUCUUGCAGCUUUGGACGAUUUCUUGCAAGUUGUGAUAUUUCGUUGUCGUUUACGAUUUUUUGCUUCUUGUUUUCUGUUGAAUUGACUCAUGUUAAUAUUCUUCUGUCAUCUGGGCGUGAAUUCAUGCUGUUAUUCUUGGUAUAUAUGACAUAUGCCUUAUUUAAAGUCCAUGGAAAUUCCAAUAUUAACAUGUCAACAACCGAAGCGUUGAAGAACUAGACUUGCAGGAACUAGAUUUGUAAGCUAUAACUAUAUAAAGGUACAAACUAUAAAAUUGCACUGUUGUAAUAAAUAUUUCAAACUUUACGGCUGUGAACUUUUAUUUACUUGGACAUUUGUUUACAGUAUACAUUUAAUAGAAAUUGCCAUUGGCAUUGUGAUCGACUGAUCGAGCCUUAAGCUAAAGAAGUUAUUAAUACAAAAGCAAUUAUAUGACUUUCUAAUCAUUUCUCUGUUUCUGUUUUAUACUAAGCAACUGAUAGCAUCCUAUUAUUCUCCAUGUAAUACCGAAUGACAUGUAAUAUGCAAUUAUUCUCCAUGUAAUACGUACCGAACCAUGCAUAUUCGAAAUAUUCGCACGGUUAACUUGCCAUGUAAUUUACUCAUAAUUUUUCGCGCAUUUUGUAUGUCUUCAAACAUCUACAAAUUUAUUAUUAUUUGCCAAUGGCGUUCAAUUCGAUUCUUCGUCAGAAAAUAAGGUUUUACACACAGAGUAUAUGACGAUUUAGUAACGUUUUGU
This 879-nucleotide long non-coding RNA is filed under the name Paramuricea clavata. The record is from RNAcentral. Lineage: Eukaryota; Metazoa; Cnidaria; Anthozoa; Malacalcyonacea; Plexauridae.